Cucumis melo (muskmelon) is the source of this 1862-nucleotide RNA transcript. RefSeq lists it as uncharacterized. NCBI's taxonomy places the organism in Eukaryota, Viridiplantae, Streptophyta, Magnoliopsida, Cucurbitales, Cucurbitaceae. The record is from RefSeq and is a predicted model, not a curated record. The transcript is spliced from 14 exons.
GGUGUCUUUGCAACGACAUAGACCUUUUUCGAAUAGGGUGUCGGCCGUUUUGGGAGGACCUUCGUUACAUUUAGUUUAUCUCCUGCUUCUAAUAUGUUUUCUAUAAAAAAAAAAAAUUAAAUUUGUUGUUAGAGAAGUUUAGGACACCUUUGAAAUCUACUAUAUAAAACACGAUUUUGUAUACUCUCUCGCUCGAGCUUCAGAAGUUUCAAAAUCAAAACUUUUGCCAAUACGACUACAGAAUGAGCUUCCGUCUCCUCACAAAGCAGCUGCGGAGCAGAAGCAGAGCCCGUAUAUCGCCAUUUCCCUCCAUUUUCUUGCGUUCGUUCUCACAAAUUUCAUCUCAAUUCUCCAGACCUACGUUUGGCAUUGCAUUCGACAUUGAUGGUGUGCUUCUCCGGGGCGAUGCUCCCAUUGGAGGCUCUCCACAAGCUCUCAGAAAGUUAUACGAUGAUUCUGGUGUAUUAAUGGUUCCUUUUAUCUUCUUGACAAAUGGCGGAGGAUUUCGUGAAUCCAAGAGAGCCUCAGAUUUGAGUGAAGUUUUAGGCGUCAAUAUAUCACCUUUACAGGUUGUUCAGGGCCAUUCACCAUUUAAACACCUAGUGAACAGAUACGAAAACAAACUUGUGAUUGCUGUUGGAAAGGGAGAACCCGCUGCAGUGAUGUCUGAAUAUGGAUUUCAGAAUGUUCUUUCAAUUGAUGAAUAUGCAUCCUUCUUUGAUAACAUUGAUCCUCUGGCACCAUAUAAGAAAUGGACGACUAUAAAAGGUGCUAAUCAUGAAAGAACUAUCGCAGAUCUAACCGAGAAGAAGAAAAUUUGCUCAGAGAGGGUUGAGGCUGCCUUCAUCGUUAGUGAUUCUGUUGAUUGGAGCAGGGAUAUUCAGGUACUUUGUGAUAUCUUAAGAACUGGAGGUCUUCCAGGCAGGGAAUUUGGGAACCAACCGGACUUGUACUUUGCACAUGAUGACCUUGAAUACCAGGCUGCUUUUCCUUGUGAGCGUUUUGGUAUGGGAGCUUUCAGAAUUGCACUAGAGUCUAUCUACAAUAAGAUUCACCCUCAUGCCUUGCAGUGUACGUGCUAUGGCAAACCAAAUCCACUCGUAUUUCACAAUGCAGAAUCUGUACUUAAACUAGUGUCAUCAAUUCAUCAAAACAAGGUGGAUGCGAAUGCUGAAACUCAUCACUUCAAGACACUAUAUAUGAUAGGGGAUAAUCCUUCUGUCGAUAUCAAUGGUGCAAUUCAGGCUGGAAGUCCUUGGUUUUCUAUCAUGACUAGAACAGGGGUUUUUAAGGGAAAAGAAAAUCAUGAUAAGUAUCCAGCUGAUCUGGUAGUUGACAGCGUUGAAGAAGCAGUGAACUACAUUUUCAAGAAGGAAGGGAUCUCUUGAAAAAACAUGAAGGGAAGAUUGAUUUUUUUUGGCAACAUAUUGAUAAUUUCAUUAUUAUUGUGAUGUGGGCAUUGGAGCUAUCCUUCAGAAUUUGAACGUGGUUCUAUUAUGGGCUAACUUUGGACUAGCCAUCAUUGGAAUUUGGUUGCUCAUGGCCUAGCUUCCCAUGCUUGUCGUUUUGAAAAUUUUGCCAUGUGGCUCGAAGACCAUCCUCUUUGGGUGUAUCCUACCAUUCAUUUUGAUUUGCUUUGUUUUUAGUGUUCUUUUGUUUCUCCUCUAUUGUACUAAAAAAAAGGCUAUAGUUCACGAUGACCAUCUCUAAUGCGAUAUGUUAAAAAAGAUGUGAUGGUUAUAACAUAAGCAAAAAGUGAUAUACCAUAAGUUUGUAAGGAGCGGGGCACCAAUCAUAAAUAUAUUUUAAAGAAGAUCAUGUACAAAUUUCUCACUCUUAUAUUCCAUUAGUAAUUCGGUCCA